UACAGAGGUCUCAAGCGUUGUCCGGAUUCAUUGGGCGUAAAGGGUGCGUAGGCGGCGAGGUUAGUCAGGUGUGAAAUCUCGGGGCUCAACCCCGAAACUGCACUUGAUACUGCCUUGCUAGAGUACUGGAGAGGAGAUUGGAAUUUACGGUGUAGCAGUGAAAUGCGUAGAUAUCGUAAGGAAGACCAGUGGCGAAGGCGAAUCUCUGGACAGUUACUGACACUGAGGCACGAAGGCCAGGGGAGCAAACGGG
Molecule: ribosomal RNA, 253 nt
Filed under: uncultured bacterium
Lineage: Bacteria
Description: partial 16S ribosomal RNA
Rfam family: Bacterial small subunit ribosomal RNA
Source: RNAcentral